CGAAAGCCUGACGGAGCAAUACCGCGUGGGGGAGGAAGGUUCUUGGAUUGUAAACCCCUUUUCUCAGGGAAGAACAAAAUGACGGUACCUGAGGAAUCAGCAUCGGCUAACUCCGUGCCAGCAGCCGCGGUAAUACGGAGGAUGCAAGCGUUAUCCGGAAUGAUUGGGCGUAAAGCGUCCGCAGGUGGCAGUUCAAGUCUGCUGUUAAAGACUGGGGCUCAACCCUGGAAAGGCAGUGGAAACUGAACAGCUAGAGUGCGGUGGGGGCAGAGGGAAUUCCUGGUGUAGCGGUGAAAUGCGUAGAGAUCAGGAAGAACACCGGUGGCGAAAGCGCUCUGCUAGGCCGCAACUGACACUCAGGGACGAAAGC
RNAcentral lists this ribosomal RNA (370 nucleotides) under uncultured cyanobacterium. RNAcentral describes it as "bacterial SSU rRNA". It matches the Rfam family "Bacterial small subunit ribosomal RNA", at positions 376 to 760 of the family's 1533-position model. The record is from RNAcentral. Lineage: Bacteria; Bacillati; Cyanobacteriota.